RNAcentral lists this ribosomal RNA (254 nucleotides) under uncultured bacterium. Its description in RNAcentral is "partial 16S ribosomal RNA". It matches the Rfam family "Bacterial small subunit ribosomal RNA", at positions 524 to 776 of the family's 1533-position model. The record is from RNAcentral.
UACGGGGGGGGCAAGCGUUGUUCGGAAUUACUGGGCGUAAAGGGCUUGUAGGUGGCCAACUAAGUCCGACGUGAAAUCCCUAGGCUUAACCUAGGAACUGCGUCGGAUACUGGAUGGCUUGAAUCCGGGAGAGGGAUGCGGAAUUCCAGGUGUAGCGGUGAGAUGCGUAGAUAUCUGGAGGAACACCGGUGGCGAAGGCGGCAUCCUGGACCGGUAUUGACACUGAAAAGCGAAAGCCAGGGGAGACAAACGGG